GGAAUAGGGAUGCCUCCUCCAACCUGAAUUUCAGGGAGGCUUCAGUGCCAAAGAAGGGUUUUCAAAUGUGGAAGGCUGAACCUUGGUGGUUAAUUUAGUUAAGCAACUACCUCUAGCAGACACAAGAUGGUUUUGUGGAGGUGAAGUCUUGGUAACUUGUCUUUCCAGUUGCAACUUCCUCCUGUUGGAUCCUCACAAAAAGGGGAGGUGUGAUCCCUUUUGUGCAAGAGUAAAGUAGAACUUGCAUGUCUCCUCCUGCGAUGGCAGCAGUUCCUCUGGGGACUCUCUGUAGUGGUGCAAUGCUAAUAAGCAGCUGAUGGUGCAGAUUUUAUUCAAAUGGCAUAUCCAAAUUCAGGAAUCUUAUCAUGCAGUGACUCAUUCUUGCACUUUCACAGAGAUAAGUUACUGCUUUGUACACUGCGCUCAUCAGUUUGCUAAAUUCUGUUUGUGUGAAAUUGAUUAAAGCCAAUGCAGAGAUGCAGUCUUAAAACUCCCCCCCACCUUUCAUAGGCCCCUGAAAGAGAGCAACAGCAGCCCUGGGGUCAGUUCUGGUUUGACUACGUCAUAGAGGGAUGUGCUUGGUCCCCCUCAUGCUCAUGAUGACAUUUGUGGUUCAUCUGCCUCCAAGAAGCUGCUUAGUUCAUCAGCCAAGCGGAGGACUUGACUUCAAAGCAGUGAGUGUUUGGUAGUCAUCCCCCUUUCUAAAGAUGGUAGAUAAUUCAUUUUUGAAGAUCUCCACCUCCCCCAUGCAUUUUAAGUUUCCUUACCCCAUGCAGUUCAGAUUAAUGCAUGGAAAUACCACAGCUCUGUGGGGUUUAUUUUUAAAGUAGCCUUUCCUUAACCACCACCUGCAUCGUAAGUAGCUGUGCAGUUUGUGAUCUUGCUCCUCAGCCUGUUGUAAAUGCUAACCUGUGUAAGUGCUGGGGUUUAAGCUAGGAGGAUGUUACAUCAUGUUUGGUAUCUAAACAUAAAGAAUUCCCAGCUGUAAAGUAAUUGUGGCAGAGUCCAACUGAAGAGUCAGAAUAUUUCUCACUCCCAUCAGCUCUCAGUGUUGGCAGGGGUGAGAUGCCUGUUAUUUCAGACCCAUGAUAAGUUGUAUGUAACUCAUUACACCUCUGUGUGCAACAUGCUGCUUUUACACACCAUAAAAUAAGUGAAAUCAAA
This 1164-nucleotide long non-coding RNA is filed under the name Strigops habroptila (Kakapo). RNAcentral describes it as "lncRNA (ENSSHBG00005013535.1)". The record is from RNAcentral. Lineage: Eukaryota; Metazoa; Chordata; Aves; Psittaciformes; Psittacidae.